Molecule: long non-coding RNA, 1197 nt
Filed under: Brachypodium distachyon (stiff brome)
Lineage: Eukaryota; Viridiplantae; Streptophyta; Magnoliopsida; Poales; Poaceae
Description: long non-coding RNA (BDIS_LNC004103)
Source: RNAcentral
UCCUUUUAGUUGUUGGCUUGUUGCAUAGAGCUAUUUACUUAAAACACUAUAUAACUGAGAAACCAACGGGCAGACCUGAGACAGCUGCCACUGAAGCCAAUUAUCGUUGAGGUGGCAACGGACAAGUUCAAGAGCCUGUACCGUGAGGACCGUGUUGUGGGUGUGGAAGGGGCGCAUCCUGUACGCUCACUUGGUGUAGUAGGUGGCAGACAACAUUGCCACAGAUUAUUAGCUUCUUUGCCUGCAUAAGGAUAGUUACUGUUAAUUUGUUUCGUGCACAAAUACAAGUUUCCCAACAAAAACUCAAAAAGUGCAUAAUACGAGAUCUAUACACAUGAAUUUGGUUUGUGUUUGACGAGUUAAACACGCUUUGUAAAGGUCAAUUGCUGCAACAUCAGAUGUUUCAUCACUCCAUUUACAUUUGUGGCCGAGUUACAGAAUCCAUAACCUAUUUUCCAGUAUUGAUGUGACAUCACACUGAAUCUUACAACAUUGAGUCACAUAAGAUGGCUGGAUCUUUUUUGUAAGUUUCCUCCUUCAGAAAUGACAUUUGUAAGUUAGCAUUGAUAAAUGACUGAAAAACACUCAUAAAUGGGUCUGCUAAGUUGGCUGGAAUUGAAUUUGUAAUUUGUCUGACCUACAAAUUUAUUGUUAAAACUUGUUCAGAAUCUGACUGUUUCUGUGCAUCAUAACAGCACAAAACUUCAAUACAUAAAAUUGAUUCCUACUAGAGACAGGGACAGAAAAGAUGGCUGCAUAUUAAAGCUUUUUGUUUUGUCCAUAAGCACAGGCGGGUGAUUAAACCAACCAUCUGGAAUGUAAAGCUAGUUCGAAUAGCUAAAAACCAACAGGGUUCGAGGAUAAUGAUAUCUCCACUCCAAUUCCAACAUAUUUCCACUGCACCAUCACCAAGUAGCAUGUACCCACCAUGGCUGUCACCCAGGAGGAGUUGUUAGGUGUCACUGAGUCUGCGCUACUGCCUCCGUCCGUCUUCCUUGACCUUCCCCAAACGACCGAUGGUGACUCAAAGCAGCCACAGGAUGACCUGUUCCUGGAACACAUCUCGCGCAUGCUCAUGGAGGAUGACGUUGUCGACAAGUUCACCUACCAAUACCCUGAUCACCCGAAGCUCCUGCAGGCCGAGCAACCCUUCGCCCAGAUCCUCUCCGCUGCUGCCACCAGCUCAUUCGAUGCCAA